RNAcentral lists this long non-coding RNA (564 nucleotides) under Phaseolus vulgaris (common bean). RNAcentral's name for it is "long non-coding RNA (PVUL_LNC001295)". The record is from RNAcentral. Lineage: Eukaryota; Viridiplantae; Streptophyta; Magnoliopsida; Fabales; Fabaceae.
GUGUUAAAAAGAAAAGAUAUUUGAUAUAAAAAAGAGUGACUUGAGUUUUAUUUAAACAUAAGGAUAAGGAUAAGGAAAAGGUGAUGAAGGGUAAGUAAUCCUCCCUCCAACACUAAAACAAAAUGAAAAUUAUGAUAUAUGUCACUCACACCUUCAACUAACAUCGACCAAAGUUGGGCAGUCCACAAAGAGCGAGAGUUCUGUUGAGGCUAUCGUUGAUGUCAUCAUCGUUGAGGUUGAGGCCAGUGUCCCUGGUGAUGUGAGGGAGGAAAGAUCUUAUAAGAUAGCAAACGCAACUACCAGCUUCAGCAGCACCUAUCCUGACAAGGAUCUCGCAGCAGGGUUCGAAAGGGUUUUGGAACUCCUCUACAUCAUGCACAACCUUGAACGCACAAUUCUUAAAAUGAUGACAUGUUUGAGAGGUGACGAUUGAGAGUGAGAGGAGAUUCAGAGAGAGGAAUAGACCAACACAAACACUACCCUUCAAACCCAUUUCACUCAACAAACCUAAUUCCUUCACCACACUUUCUUACACUUCUCUAUGUAGAUCGAUUCUGAAUGAUC